UACGUAGGUAGCAAGCGUUGUCCGGAGUUAUUGGGCGUAAAGCGCGCGCAGGCGGUGCGGUAAGUCUCUGGUGAAAGCGCUCGGCUUAACUGGGCGAGGGCCGGGGAGACUGCCACGCUGGAGGGGAGCAGAGGCGAGUGGAAUUCCGGGUGUAGUGGUGAAAUGCGUAGAGAUCCGGAGGAACACCAGUGGCGAAGGCGGCUCGCUGGGCUCUACCUGACGCUGAGGCGCGAAAGCGUGGGGAGCGAACCGG
RNAcentral lists this ribosomal RNA (253 nucleotides) under uncultured bacterium. Its description in RNAcentral is "partial 16S ribosomal RNA". It matches the Rfam family "Bacterial small subunit ribosomal RNA", at positions 524 to 776 of the family's 1533-position model. The record is from RNAcentral.